RNAcentral lists this small RNA (258 nucleotides) under Rattus norvegicus (Norway rat). RNAcentral describes it as "uncharacterized LOC108350289". The record is from RNAcentral. Lineage: Eukaryota; Metazoa; Chordata; Mammalia; Rodentia; Muridae.
AAGUCAUCAAAUUAGUCGGGUGUUUGGUGGAGCCUGAAUGUAGCCCCAGUGGUGUGGUGCCCUGGUUCUCGGGAGCUUUUCAUGAAGCUUCCCCUGACAAGAUGGAUGGGUACUGCAAUGAUGUCACCAUCAUCCCUUCAUAAACCCUCCAUUUCCACGUCUACCUGCCUCAGUGGAGAGCAUCCUAUCACAGAGAGAAAACUUCCUGGGCUGGAAGGCUCCGCCCACCUCCCAACUCCAUAAAGCCAUCCAAAUGGU